This 419-nucleotide long non-coding RNA is filed under the name Marmota monax (woodchuck). Lineage: Eukaryota; Metazoa; Chordata; Mammalia; Rodentia; Sciuridae. The record is from RNAcentral.
ACAUGAUUGUAAAAACUUCACAGGUUUCAUUAAUCUGUAAGAGGAAGUCAGCAUUUCCCCACUGUAAGUUAGUCAUUGUUGUUUUUUCCUAAGUAUGUAAAUGUUAAAAAGCACCCCCAACAGUUUAUUGUGCCUUUCAUUAGCAAAUUGUGUUUCUAUGAAGAUGUUUUUCUAGAAUUCGUGUGUUUGAUAUUGCUGUUUUAAAUUUGCCAAAAUUUUUUCCCCUCACUCUGAUAUCUGAAAAAUGCCACUGAACUCCUUAUCCAUUGUGGAGAGAGCCAUUUAUAAUACACUAUCUGGACAUUUCUGUUCCAGGUAGCAGAAGGCCAAGGCUCAAUUACCAGUAAUUGUUAUAGAAAGUACAUGUGCUCCAUGGAAUGUUAAUUAUUGGCAUUCAUCGCCAAGCUAAGCAGUUGAUA